UACGUAGGGGGCAAGCGUUGUCCGGAUUUAUUGGGCGUAAAGAGCUCGUAGGCGGUUUGUCGCGUCGAAUGUGAAAACCCGGGGCUCAACCCCGGGCCUGCAUUCGAUACGGGCAGACUAGAGUUCGGUAGGGGAGUCUGGAAUUCCUGGUGUAGCGGUGAAAUGCGUAGAUAUCGAGAGGAACACCUGCGGCGAAGGCGGGUUGCUGGGCCGACACUGACGCUGAGGCGCGAAAGCCAGGGGAGCGAACGGG
Molecule: ribosomal RNA, 253 nt
Filed under: uncultured bacterium
Lineage: Bacteria
Description: partial 16S ribosomal RNA
Rfam family: Bacterial small subunit ribosomal RNA
Source: RNAcentral